RNAcentral lists this ribosomal RNA (19 nucleotides) under Mycosarcoma maydis (corn smut). RNAcentral describes it as "Ustilago maydis partial 18S ribosomal RNA". The record is from RNAcentral. Lineage: Eukaryota; Fungi; Basidiomycota; Ustilaginomycetes; Ustilaginales.
ACCUGCAGAUGGAUCAUUU